Molecule: ribosomal RNA, 592 nt
Filed under: Campylobacter jejuni
Lineage: Bacteria; Pseudomonadati; Campylobacterota; Epsilonproteobacteria; Campylobacterales; Campylobacteraceae
Description: partial 23S ribosomal RNA
Rfam family: Bacterial large subunit ribosomal RNA
Source: RNAcentral
AGGUAAGCUACUAAGAGCGAAUGGUGGAUGCCUUGACUGGUAAAGGCGAUGAAGGACGUACUAGACUGCGAUAAGCUACGGGGAGCUGUCAAGAAGCUUUGAUCCGUAGAUUUCCGAAUGGGGCAACCCAAUGUAUAGAGAUAUACAUUACCUAUAUAGGAGCGAACGAGGGGAAUUGAAACAUCUUAGUACCCUCAGGAAAAGAAAUCAAUAGAGAUUGCGUCAGUAGCGGCGAGCGAAAGCGCAAGAGGGCAAACCCAGUGCUUGCACUGGGGGUUGUAGGACUGCAAUGUGCAAGAGCUGAGUUUAGCAGAACAUUCUGGAAAGUAUAGCCAUAGAGGGUGAUAGUCCCGUAUGCGAAAAACAAAGUUUAGCUAGCAGUAUCCUGAGUAGGGCGGGACACGAGGAAUCCUGUCUGAAUCCGGGUCGACCACGAUCCAACCCUAAAUACUAAUACCAGAUCGAUAGUGCACAAGUACCGUGAGGGAAAGGUGAAAAGAACUGAGGUGAUCAGAGUGAAAUAGAACCUGAAACCAUUUGCUUACAAUCAUUCAGAGCACUAUGUAGCAAUACAGUGUGAUGGACUGCCUUU